AUGAUCAACCUGGGAAAGUGCACGGCGUACAAGAUUCGAUGGAAUGUGGAGGAGCAUGGUGAAGUUCUGCAAGAUUUUGGAGGAAAAGAGGACUCGUUUCCUUGCAAAUACCUGAGCCUUCCUUUGCACAGGAGAAAGCCAACACGUGCUGAAUUGCAACCUCUCAUAGACAAGGCUGCUAGGAGAGUAAAACCGUGGAACGGAAAGCUUCUGAACAAGACUGGUCGCUUAACUCUAAUCAACUCGGUCCUUACGGCAAUCACAACUUUCUUCCUCACAUGUUUUGCAAUGGAUAAAUGGGCUAUCAAAAAGCUUGACAAAUGUAGAAGAAACUUUGUUUGGGCUGGGGAUGAGGAGGCAAGCGGAAGUAAACGCUUGGUAAAUUGGAAACAAUGUUGCUCCCCCAAAAGUCUCGGUGGCCUCGGAAUCAAAGAGCUAACCUGUUAUAGCAGAGCAUUGAGACUCAGAUGGUGUUGGUUCGAAUGGGAUGACACUGACAGACCUUGGAAAGGUUCCCAAAUUCCUUGCGACGCAACUGACAGAGACCUUUUCUCCGCCUGCACCAAGAUCACAUUGGGGAACGGACAAAAGGUGAACUUCUGGAAGGACAAGUGGCUGCAUGGGGUCGCACCCAUUGAAGUGGCUCCAGAGGUUGCAAAGCUAGUGGAUGAAGGGGCUUCAAAGGAUGGGCAACGAAGAGUAAGUUCUGCAAUUUGUCAACUUGUGGGAGCUGAUCCAAGAAGUGCAGCUGUCUCAGGACAGACAUAG
This 768-nucleotide ribosomal RNA is filed under the name Triticum aestivum (bread wheat). RNAcentral describes it as "partial small subunit ribosomal RNA". Lineage: Eukaryota; Viridiplantae; Streptophyta; Magnoliopsida; Poales; Poaceae. The record is from RNAcentral.